AACGAACGCUGGCGGCAGGCUUAACACAUGCAAGUCGAACGCGUGUAGCAAUACUCGAGUGGCGCACGGGUGAGUAACGCGUGGAUAUCUGCCUUUUGGUUCGGAAUAACUCCGGGAAACUGGAGCUAAUACCGGAUGGUUCCUUCGGGAUAAAGAUUUAUCGCCAAAAGAUGAGUCCGCGUACGAUUAGCUAGUUGGUGAGGUAAUGGCUCACCAAGGCGACGAUCGUUAGCUGGUCUGAGAGGACGAUCAGCCACACUGGGACUGAGACACGGCCCAGACUCCUACGGGAGGCAGCAGUGGUGAAUAUUGGACAAUGGGGGCAACCCUGAUCCAGCCAUGCCGCGUGAGUGAUGAAGGCCUUCGGGUUGUAAAGCUCUUUUGGCGGGGACGAUGAUGACGGUACCCGCAGAAUAAGCCCCGGCUAACUUCGUGCCAGCCGCCGCGGUAA
Molecule: ribosomal RNA, 451 nt
Filed under: uncultured bacterium
Lineage: Bacteria
Description: partial 16S ribosomal RNA
Rfam family: Bacterial small subunit ribosomal RNA
Source: RNAcentral